UGGACGACGUUAACGUUUUGUGCCUUA
Molecule: small RNA, 27 nt
Filed under: Bombyx mori (domestic silkworm)
Lineage: Eukaryota; Metazoa; Arthropoda; Insecta; Lepidoptera; Bombycidae
Description: ovarian small RNA-8705
Source: RNAcentral